UCCCUGGCAGUCCAGUGGAUAGGACUCGGCACUAUCACUGCCGGGACCCGGGUUCAAUCCCUGGUCAGGGAA
This is a non-coding RNA of Balaenoptera ricei (Rice's whale), 72 nucleotides long. NCBI's taxonomy places the organism in Eukaryota, Metazoa, Chordata, Mammalia, Artiodactyla, Balaenopteridae. The record is from the annotation of a RefSeq genome assembly.